AUGGAAAGGUUUCCAAAAAAGAGGAGAACCAUAGUGCGAGAUGAAGGCUCGUCACACCAACAUAAUCAGAAUGAUGCCUCAAUCCCGCCACUGUCGGUCGAACAAAAUGUUGUCCCCUCACUACAUGAACAGCUUGAUGUCCCAGCCCCACCAUCACCACCUGGACAGAAUGAUGCCUCCACAUAUGAACCUAAUUCUGCCAAUAAUACAAGGAAUUUAUUUCAAGUUGAAGAAGAGAUCAAUUGGGAAGAGCAACUUAAAUUUGAUCCAGGUAAAAGGAGAAGUAUUGAUGAGUAUCAUCCGAAUCUGAGAGAUAUGGUAAGACUGAAGUACUUGGCCAAUGGACCUUGUCAGCCUCGUACUGGUGAUUUUAAAGUAACCAAAAUAUGUGGUAGAGAUAGAAGGUUCGUUCGGGAAUGGUUUGAUGAGUUUGAGAGGUUUAGACCACGCAAGAAGAAAGAAGAUGGAUAUGAUGCAUUUGUUGCAAAUGGUUGGUCAAGUUGGAAUAAAAAAUAUAGAUUAAAGGAGCAUGUAGGAGACAUCAAUAGUGCUCACAACCAAGCAAAAAUAGAUUGUGAUGCUUUGCUGAAACAAAAGGAACACAUUUAUGUUGCUCUAAAUAACCAAAGUAAUGCUGAGAGGAUUCCUUAUUAUACUCAACUAAAUGCCUCAAUUGAUGUUGCAAGGGUGUUACUGAAGCAAGCGUUGCCUUUUUGUGGCCAUGAUGAGUCCGAGGAGUCUCUCAAUAAAGGCAAUUUCAUGGAAUUUCAUUCUUACACAACAGAGCAGAAUCCAGCUGUAAGAAAAGUUGUGGCCCAUAAUGUUCUAGGUAAUAAUCAGUUGACUUCUUCGAAGAUUCAGAAGGACAUAGCUGAAUGUUUUGCAAAGGAAAUAUUGCAUUAG
RNAcentral lists this ribosomal RNA (903 nucleotides) under Triticum aestivum (bread wheat). Its description in RNAcentral is "partial small subunit ribosomal RNA". Lineage: Eukaryota; Viridiplantae; Streptophyta; Magnoliopsida; Poales; Poaceae. The record is from RNAcentral.